The submitters of this non-coding RNA (61 nucleotides) gave its source as unclassified sequences. The record is from Rfam.
GCUGUGGAGCGUCAAACAAACCCAAGUAGUCACGACGAACGGGGACGCUGUGAAGCAGUAA